This is a long non-coding RNA of Cataglyphis hispanica, 790 nucleotides long. RefSeq lists it as uncharacterized. The transcript has 3 exons. The record is from RefSeq and is a predicted model, not a curated record. NCBI's taxonomy places the organism in Eukaryota, Metazoa, Arthropoda, Insecta, Hymenoptera, Formicidae.
AGCGCUUUUUUCUUCUCGUCCCGCAGAUUGCUGAAUAAACCUACAUUUUCCCGCUGGUUGACAAUAUCGUAGAAUAUAAUUUAUUAUCAACUCUUGUGAAGAAGCUAGCGUAACAUGACUAUGCCAAUUGCAUAACCGGAAGUAUUUGCCAUAAGUUCUCCACCGAAGUUUUGCCGCGAGUAUUGUCAGGAAUAUUUAAUUGGUAGAAUGAAAUUAAUUGGUAGAACGAAAUCAAGAUCAUUCUACGAUUUUUCGAUUGGGAUGGAAUUACUUAAAAACGAAAGAUAUUGUGAUUUAUAAGAGAAAUCGAGAUAAUUACUCUUACAAAGGAAGAGGAUAUUACGAAAGAAAGAAGAUUAAAAUAAUUAUGAAAAAGACUAAGAGAAAAUCGAAGCAAGAAAUGAUCGAAUAAAACCUUUUUUUAUAGGAGAUUUGUGGAUAACUUCAAAUCACGGUAGUUUAAUACCCCUAAAAAAGUGGUUUGACUCCCUAAAAUAUUGAAAAGAAGCGCUUAAAUAUCCCUCAUGACAAAUUUGCGCAGCUGCAGCAAAACGAUAAUGACAGCAUGUAGUAAAGGAAUGCGCUGUUAGAUAGAUAGCUGUCAUAUAUAGAGAUGACGUAUGCUUGCAUAUGGAAGAACAGAAAAAAAUUGAUUAAAGUAUAAAGAUAUGAAAGCGGGAUUGAAUCGAUUGGAUACAUACGAGGAUCUAGAAAUGCUCGAUGACCUAGGGACAAACAGUAUCCGGAAUGCUGCAAAUCGAGAUCAAAGAUUCUUAAAAUUUAAAAGGGC